UCCCCGAUAGCUCAGUCGGUAGAGCACUCGGCUGUUAACCGAGGUGUCACAGGUUCGAGUCCUGUUCGGGGAG
RNAcentral lists this transfer RNA (73 nucleotides) under Bacillota bacterium. Its description in RNAcentral is "tRNA-Asn". It matches the Rfam family "tRNA". From Rfam's summary of the family: Transfer RNA (tRNA) molecules are approximately 80 nucleotides in length. Lineage: Bacteria; Bacillati; Bacillota. RNAcentral also lists the same sequence under 1 other name. The record is from RNAcentral.